This is a non-coding RNA of Cinara cedri, 850 nucleotides long. NCBI's taxonomy places the organism in Eukaryota, Metazoa, Arthropoda, Insecta, Hemiptera, Aphididae. The record is from the annotation of a GenBank genome assembly.
ACUGCUUCGACUACAACGAGUUGUAUUCGGCGUCUCAGCCCGCUUGGUCAGCGGUUAAUAUUAUACUAGCGUUAGUCCCAAAACCACCACGUUUCAGUCGAGAUAGACUCCUCAACCUUGAGGGCAAUGCAUCCAGCGCGACAAGUCCCACCGGCGUGCAUUGGGCUCCCCCUCUCCUCCCGUAGUACCAAUUAAUAAUUUUGGUGAACAUUGGUAGAUUCACCCGAGGCUUUCGCCUCUCCCACUAUUUUGACCUCCGAGUAGGCCGGCUAGUGGUUGGCCAUAAUUGAGACUUUAGAAACACCAGCUGUUUCAGGGGGUCUCAANCCCUCCGGACGUCUAUGUUCCGGCAUGUGUCCUCCAGGUGGUAGAUAGUCGCCACUUACGACUGGCCCGGAGUUCGCCGUAUGUGUAUUCUAAGCAUACAGGGCAUACAGGCCCUUUUGAGUCACUUCCGGAGGAAGUGGUCAAGCGCCCGUAUGAAAAUGAGAACAGUCUCUCCACCCCCCGCUGCGUCGCGUUAGGGUGGAGCGUACUGCGCUCACCGGUCCGUUCGGUCGAUGAGUGCGUUCCUGGCGAAGGUACACAGCCCAUCAUAUCUCUUCCUCGUUAAUACUAAUUGUGAUGGUUCGCACGGCCAUGUGCCGCCAUCGUUCUGAAUCUUUCCUUCGAGUAUUACGCGGUGGUUCGUUACACGCGGGCAGUCGAAAAGUACGUGUGAAACGUCUUCCAGAUCCGCUCCGCAUGCGCAUGUUGGUUCUUCCGCCAACCUAAACUGAAACAGCUUCGCCCUAAAAUCACCGUGUCCGGUAAGAAAUUGUGUUACGAAGUGAUCCAGUUCAAGUGGCAU